Long non-coding RNA from Cyanoderma ruficeps (rufous-capped babbler), 1742 nucleotides. The record is from Ensembl. Lineage: Eukaryota; Metazoa; Chordata; Aves; Passeriformes; Timaliidae.
GUUUUGAAUGAGGCUCGGAAUAUGUUCACUGGCAUAGUACUGCCUGAUAUCCAAAAGAAAUGGGCUAACUGAGAAGAGAGAAGAGUAAAGAGAAGGGAGUUUCUGGUGAGAAAGCACAAGUGUAUGAGAUGUGUCUUAUCCAGAGGCACCGAAUAAUCUGGAAAGAAACUAUGCGUGUACCUGGACCCAUAUACUCUAAAUAGCCAGGAUUCCUUUAUCUCACCAGCUCUUCUGCUGUAGGUUAAUAAUUGUAUCAGCAACAGAAACCAUUCUCAGACAUUUUUGUAAUAAGGCAGAAGAUAUUUCCAGGUUAGCUCCCAGUUCUGUCUCAUAUAGGGUAAACAUAUCUAGCCCAUCAACCUCUGGUUCUUCAGCUCUGUGUGCCAGACCUUUUCCUCCCAGAGCAAAGAGAAAGAGCAGAGUGGAAAGAAGAAAUGUGUGCCACUUUAAAAACUGGCCAUCAGCAAUUGAUUUAUGACAUGGUAGAGACAACAAGGCCUCAGCUGUAUGUCUUUGCUGCUUAAGUAAACACUUCUGUUUUCUGAGUCUCUAGUGUGAAAGAAAGGUAAAGGCAUUCCUCAUUUGCUGAAAGCCCAGAUAAAUGGCAUGAUCUCUCUGCUACUGUUGCAGGGAAAGGGGUUGGCAAAGCCUGGGAAAAAGAGUUUAGCUUUUUCUUGCCAAGAACAGCUCAUUCAAGACGCAAGGUGACACAGCAAUCAGUGUGAUGGAUUGUGACAAGUCUGGCAGACUAAAAAUUCUCAGAAGAGAUGCUGUGACAGCUUCAGAACUUCAAAGUAUCAAUAAGAUACAUUCCUCAUUAUGCCUUUUGAAAGGAUGGCUGUAUUCAAAGAUAAAGGAGAAGAAAGGCAAAGUCUGAUUUCUGGACUUAAAAGAACUCUCAUAAAAGGCAGACAUUUAGAUCAGACCAAAAUGGCCUGAAACCAUCUUUAUUAUUCUGGCAUUCAAGUGAUCAGCUUGCCUGCUUGAAGUUCUACACAUCUUAUAGAUGAAACAUAUUCUUUGGGUGUGCUCAGCAGCUGCAUGACUCCUCAUCCAUUAAAGUAUUUUGCAGCCAGUGGGUUGAAUCCAUACACCGGACAGAACUGGGCAUAAGAUUACUCUGUACUGGUCAUUACUUUAAAGCCGGUAUAAAGGACCAUUGCCAGCUAUAAUCCUUGUAUAGCCCACAUUAUGCAACAAUAAGCCAGCAUGCAUCUCAGAAGGUGUUUAGAUAGAAAUUAGUCUCCACAGAGAAUUGCCAGACUGGUAUUUGGGUGAGCAACCAAUAAAUGACUGAUAACACCUAUCUCUUUCCCAAGCAUUUUCACCCAGUUUGCAUUGGAUUUCACUUUCACUGUGGUCCCAUGUGGAAUGGACCACUCAGAUAAUGUGUAGAAUAGGAACUCAGAUCAAUCUGGGCUCACUAAGCUGAACAGAGGAGGGAAUACAUGUACAGUGGUUUGAAGUAGCUAUAUAGAAAAAGAAGCUCCUAAUAACUUCUAGGAAUACAACUAUACGCAGAAAGCAAUAGACAUCAAAUAAUGGAAUUUGGGUCAAAUUAGAGAAAAAAGCAGAACUAGUAGUUAAGGAGAAGAAAUCCCUUGGCAAUUUUCUGCCUCAAAGGUGAAUACCAGGAAAGGUCUGAAGAACUUCGGGAAUGGUGGGCUGUUCUGUACCCACUACCCUGCUUGCAGCCAAUGUUGACACUUUUUUGAAGUUAUAAGCAGAGCCUGGGAGAACAG